GAUACCUCCUUUUAUUCAUGCCCUCUGAGGUAACAUGUGCUUUGUUCGGGGGGGAGCGCAACCAAGAACUGAAGCUGUUGAAAAGAUGAGGGUAGAGCAAAGGCAAGAGUAGAAGACCAGGUGAUAUUUGUCCUAGCUCUGAAAUAGCCUAGCUGUGAUCUCAGUGAAUUGACUUCUGUAGCCUUAAAGGUAUUUAGGUUCUCUGCUUACCCUUUGUAGGUGUGCUGUUUUCAGUCAUAGUCAGUCAUGUUCCCACCCAGAUGCUUAGGGUAGGAGGGGUUUCCUGACUGAAGGUACAGAUACAUUUGGUUACGGUAACACAGGACUUGGUCUCCUGGUUAGCCAGCUAUUAAAAACUCUAAAUAGCCCUUUUGUGGAAACAGAAAGGAGUGGGUUUAGAUACUGAAGAGCAAGUUUCAUGAAAGUAGGAAGUUGUAAUUAUCUACUUUAGACUCUUACUAGUGGGUGACAGGAGAAUUAGUUGAACAGCUGUGCAGUAACACUGGCAAAUGAAGAAAUCUGCUGAAAGGAAUCUGUGCACUUUGUCUACAGAUGCUAAUGUAAUCCCCUUAUGAGAACCAAAAGUAAAAGAAAUUACUGGUUAAAACUUAACUUCAGCUGGGGCAGGCUUUGGCUUUGCAUCCCCUACAAGAUCUGAAGUCCUACUCUGAAAGAAAUCUUGAUUAAUUUGGCUCUUUUGUUGCAUUUGAUUAUAGGAUAAAAUCCAUCGUGGCUGUUGGGCAAAUACAGAAUGUGGUUUGCAAAAAGGGAAAGCAUGGUUUCAGAGAUUGAAUUGUAUUUGGAAGUGGGCUGAGCUAGGCUGUAAGCAGCUCAGCUCUGGGAGUGGCUUCCUUCCGUCUUGCACACAGUGUCAGAAUGGAAGACUGUUGCACGGGGUUGUGGGAGUUGCUCUAGGUCACUUCUUUCACUUUUAUUAGCAAGAAGUAGUAUGCACAUUAAAUUUGCAGUCAACAGGAAGCUGGACAGAUGUGAAAGAUAAGAUAGCAUUAGAAUUCAAAUUAGUCUUGGGAACUUGUAGAAAUGGUUGUGACACAGAGGAGAUGGUGAGGAAAGACAAGAUCCUUUUCAGCAAAGCGCUAAAUUUAGAUUGGGUUAAACAACUGCGCAAAUUCAGAGGUGCCAGCUAGUUAGUAUUAUUUCAGCUAAGGAAUCUGGUAGUUUGUCCUGCCUGGUGGUAGAAGAGCAAACUUCAGGCUAAGGUUCACAAAGGGUGAUGUGUUUGGUGAGACUCAGUAUGAUCCUGUGCGACACAGGAGCACCCGUAAGCAUGCGGCUUGAGAUGCUGCAGUUUGGACCAGAGUGUGCAGUGGGGAGCGGUAUGACUGAAAUCUUGAAAAUGUGGGAAAAUGCACUUGGUGAGGAUCCACUGAAAGAACUGAGUCUGAAAUCCUGUGGCAGACUUGGCUUAAAUUGCAGUUAGGAGAAGUGAUAGUUUCUUCUAAGGUCAAAUGUAAAAAAGUAAGGAUAGGAAAUCACUGAACAGAUGUGCGGGGAGAUGGUAGUAGCUUGUCCACAAAUGGAAGUCUGUUAAGAGCAAGCAUCUGUCGGGAGUAAUAGCUACAUUUCGGCUUGCUUUGGGGCAGGGGAAAAGGCUGGCUGACUUUGCACAGUCCUUUCCCGUCCUAUUUUCCUUUGGGUCUGUGCGACUUGGGUCUCCAAGCAAGCCUAAAAGUUACAAGGUAAGUAACUGCUGGAGGAAGGAGUGUGGAAUAUAAUCUGGCAGGGAAAGCAGUUUGGAGCAGAGCAAGGAGCUCCCAGUGCAUGGUUCAACCUGUAAUCUAUCGAUCCUAUUCAGAGUCCACACUUGCUACAAUAUAGGCCCCUACGUUUAAGCCUGGGCUAAGUCACCUUUCUGAAAGGCGUAAGUACGUAUUUAUCUGUAUCCACAUCCAUCCGUUCUGGUGAGAUGGUGCCUAGUGAAUUUACGUUUACUUUCAAAUUGCAGGUAAAGAUGCUGAUUACCUGUUGGUGUAAAGCUAGCCUCUGCAGAACCUCUGAAAACACAUGGAUUUGUUGGAAAGUCCUUGGUGGUGGUUGGCAGGUGUCGGAAUAAUUUUCCUCCAUCUGUUCACUGUAUUUAUUUUGCAAACUAUACGGUGUUCAUUUUUAAAAGUACUGGAGUAUAGAUCUGUGUGCUUGCAUAGUAAGCUUUCACAGCAGGACUCAUCCUCUCAUUAGAAAUCAUCCACUGCUGCUCAGCAGGUCACCUGGGAUGUUUCCUUCAAGGCCUUGUCUUUAAAAGAGGCGAGCUGGCUGCAUUUGUGGCACGUGUUGCAUGUGCUCACCCUGCAAAGGACCUGGUCCGGGACCUGUGGGCUGCCACUUCCACCAUGUCUCUGUACCUUUUGCUCAGCAUUGUAAAGGGACAAGCAUCAAAUAGCCUGGAUCUGGGACCCUGCUGCUACGCCUGCUUGUCCUUGGACCCCUUGGUGGAGCUUACACCUUGUUUAAUGCACACAAAAUGCAGUUCUAGAGGAGCGUUGCUGCCAUAUGCUCAGCAGCCCAUUCUGGUGUGUUUUCAAAGUGAGUUUUGACAUCAGUUGUUUUGGAGUUCGUGUGUAAUUAACAUCAUCCAAGUUACUGCUCCCACCACCAUCUGGUCAGCACAAUAGUCGUUGGUAUACUGAAAGCUGGUGUUUACUAGGGGAGAAUGAGGGUGCUUUCACUAUCUGCAGCUUCUUGGCCCCAUCCAGCAGUACUGCUUUUAUGGGGUUUUGCUGUUGUAAAAUGACUCUGAGAUCUAUGCCACAAGUGGUUUGAGACGGGGAAGUAUUGCAUAACUCUGGGGAGACGAGUUUAAAACUUCCUUAGAGAAGUAUUUCACUUCUUAAACUCUUUAAAACCCAAACCAUAAGAUUAAAUUUUUUAUGAUGUCUCAGUUUGGACAAAGAGUUGUGGUGUCCUGAUUCAGGUAAGCUUGUCUGAUGUGAGUGAUGAUGUGAAUUGAAAGUGAGGGCUAUUCUGUUGAGUACUUAAAAUUUGUGUCCCACUUUUCAAAACAGACUUGGCUGAACUCCUUCCUGCAGCAGCGUAGAGUGAGAACAUUAUUCCCAGAGCACUCAGCUAUGGACUGGGGUGAUGUUCAACUGCCCCAGCUGCCUUCUCUUUUUUUUUUUUUUCUUUGCUCUUCUUUGCUAUAUCUUACAGCUACUCUGUGUCAGGUGAGGGUUUGAGACACUGUCUGAAUGGGUUUCUGGAAGUGUCAGGGCUGUGCCUCGUGGCUUGGUAGCUACAGCAAGGGAAAGGUCAGUGCUGUGGCCCUUACUUGAGAUGUGUGUGGCAGCAGUGGGAUUACUUAAUAGAAUACGGGGCUGCUCACAUCUCAGGGAAGCAGAUACUCCAUUCUCUUGCAAUUCUCAUGCAGAGGAAGAGGGAGAUCUCGCAAAAAAGAGACGGAGGAUGUCCCUGUACUGUCUGCACACAGCUUUUGCUUUUUUGCAGCUAGUGAUGCUUCAGUCUAGCAUACAACAACCUGAUUUUGCUGUGUGACCCUGCUUUAUCCUCCCAACAGCUCUUCCCAUGCACUGAAUGAGAUGUGUUCCCGUGGAAGAUGGAGGAUGCUAUUACAUGAAUGAAGAAUCUUGCAUAAUGCAGAAAGGAAUCAACCCAAAGCAAAUACCUGACAUGGAAGAAUUUCAGCCUGAACAUCUUUAAGUCAUUGGAAACAAGUCUAAAAUCAGGAUCUUGUGAUGGAAAAUGUUGGGUGACCUGAUCUUGAGGCUCUUCUCAUGUAGGGCAAGAAGAGACUAGCCCGGGCUGCCUGGGGAGAAGACGUCUGUCAAAGUACAGUCAUUGACAAAGGAGAGCCCCCUGCACUGCACUGAGAUUAGGAGGAACUUCCUGGUCGUGGGAACAUUUAGACAAGGAUGUAUGAGCCUCCCCCUCCUGCCCUGGUAGUGACCCCAGCUCCAAUCCCAGUCCUGCAGUGUGCACCCAUGACCGAGGCAGCUCAUGACUCUUCUUGGCCAUGGACUUCAGAGAGAGGUGAAACGUGGGGAUGGAGCUCCAGAGGGAGUAUUUGCAUUAUCAAACAUUGUGAUGACAAGCAUCUUAGGAUCUUGCAAAGCUGUAUUGCUAAGUCAGUCAACAAGGAAUGUAACUCUUGGCAUGUGUGGAAGGUGAGUGAAUGAUGUUCAAAUGGGAAGAUUACGUAGGGAUCUGAAGAAUACCUGAAGAAUCUGAAUUAAAAUGCUUCAAAGAAAGAUGUCAGGGGUGAAGAUCAGAAGAUUAUAAAGUGCUAAUAAUUAGCAAUUGGCAUAACUUGCAAGGCAGAAAGACUGUCAACGCACUUAAAAAUCUCCUCAUCUUGUCUAACUAAAUGUAAUUAGCUUUAAAAUCCAAACUCAAAGUGGGAUGAAAAUGUGCUUAUACCAUAUGUACAAACAAGAUAAUUUUGUGUCUGAGUUCCACCAUGAGAUUCCUUUUAAUACAAUACAUAAGUCAGGCUAUCUGAUUGCUUUCUGAAAUUAGUAUACACCUGUAUCAUGCCCUUGUCCUGAAUUAGAACAAUUGAGAAACACAUCUCAUCCAGCAUGCGUGACGGUCAUCAAGCAGAAAUAGCUGAUUGUUGACACACUAACAGGUUUUCUCUAAUUGUUGAUGAAACUCCAGAGUCAGUAUUUUGUUCUCUCCCUAGUGUUUAUUAAACAGACAUUAGUUUGGGUGUGAAGUCUGCAGGUGUGGAAAAUAUGUUUCUAUCAUCAGAGGUGGUGUUGCAGAGUGUUGUCUCACUUUGGGGUCUUUUUUUGUAUUAUAUUCUGGAAUAUUGCAAAUCAUGAUGUGAUAACUGGGUACCUAUAAACAGUCGCUUGGCAGCAUAUCUUCAUUAUCAGAGAUGUGAUGCAAAUGUGUCUUCAUACCUUAGGUGUUCCCAUGCCACGCACCUCCCACUCUGUUCCUGCAAGCAGGGGAGUUCACACCGAAGGUUACAGUUUAGUGUGACCUGAGCAAAAUUGCUUGUCAUUCCUUAGGUCUCUGCUGCAAGACUGAGAUGGCUCUAGCUUGGCUGUCUGGUGAGGACAAUCUUGGUACAAGGAAUUUGCAUCCCCUGCAGGCCUGGCUCUGAUACAGUGUUUUUUUCCCAGCUGGAGCUGGAAGGGCAUACACAGCAUUUGGGAGAAUGCUGUCAUUUUCCUUCCUUCGAAAGAGUCAACAGGCACAUCCAGAAGUGAAGAAGAAUACAUUUUCAAAAAGAACAAAAAGCAGAGACAAAUCAUUGCAAGGCUUUGGUUUGUACUCAUUCUGGAAAACAGGCAUGGUGUUUGCAAAAAUCUGGGGGUAGCUUCUGGGGACCCUUCAGACGUCAUGCAUUAAGAGGACAGAGCUGUGAAGCAGAGAAGUUUCCAAAAAGCUGAGGAACAAUGGAGUCUUUGAAAGAACAUUUGCUUUAAAGCAGUAAGCAAUGCCUUCUGCAUGGUCCUGCGGAGAAUUUUUUUUACAGAGAGAAACGUAUAAUGAAAUAUUUCUUUGGAAAAGAAAGAUCUGUUUUCCUGCUGCAGAACAUCGGAUACAUUUCUUUGAAAAAUGAGAUGUUAAAGCGGUUUGUGUGGGAUUUAAUCUGCUAAUCAAAUUUCUACCACUUCUGGACCUGAGUUACUAAAAUCAGCGUUCAGAGGAGCUUCCUAACCUGCUCUUUUAGUAAUCCUGGUGCAAGAUGAAAGAGAAGCAGGCUUCAAAACAGAUAAUGAAUUUCUUCUAACUCGUCUGGAGACUGAAGAGCCAUAAUUCUGAUUGAUCAGAUAUGGUCUGCUUUAGAGAGGCACCAGAUGUGAUCCAGAUUUUAAAUAGAUGCUGCUACUGUCAAAAUGCAUUCGCUCCCUCCUGGUAUAACAAAGUGAAGUCCAUCUGUCUGGAGUUGUGCACUUUUUUUAGUGGUAAUAACAGUUAACAUCAACAAUAAGCUUUGUCUCAUUAGUAUCACAUAAUCCCUACUACCAAGUCCCCAGUUUCUGGUCCCCAUAUUAUCUGCCAUGGAAAAAAUAAAGACCACAGCAGGAGCUAAGAAGGUCAGUGCAUUCUCAGGGUAAUCAGCUGUAGUAAAUUCAAUUCUGACAAGACAAGGCUUGCAAAUGUCUGGGGAAUUAAGGGAUCAUCUAUAAUUUCAUAUGUUGAGUGGGAAAGUGUCCUUCCAAACAUUUAUUAAUUACAGAUGAGGAUGCAUAUGGUGGUCAUCCUUGGAGAGUUUUCUUCUGAAGCAGACCCAGAAAAAUAGAUUUAACUCUUUGCUGCUGCUUCUAAAGAGAAACUACUCAUCUUAGCAAUCGGUCUUGCAAUAGUUUCAGUCAGCAUGCUUUCUCUCCCGGUUUUUAUUGCUCUGUAUUAGCAACAGAUAACUGUUACCCAUUAUGUAAUUUUUUACAUAAAAGUUUCCCACUGUAAUCAAUGGAGAAGCCUUUCCUUGGCUUUAGCCUGCCUCAGUACGAUCUCUCCAGGGUUUGCAGUCCUUAAGAGGUACCAAGUAAAGAACAACAGACUAAAGAGCUUCGCAUUUAGAAUUCAACCUUUCACUUGAAGAUCUUGGAGCAUUUUAGAAACCUUAAUUACUCCCCUUUGAGGUCUGUAUUGUCUUUUCUGUUUUAUAGGUGAGGAAAUUAAGUGCAGGGAAGUUAGAAUCUAAUGUUUUCCAACCUGAACAAGUAAAGUAUUAGAUAUCUUGGGCUCUGUCCAGGACACUUUUGGAAAUGAACUGAUCCCUGUAGUUCCUAUGCAACGAUGAGAUUUACUACUUAGGUCGACGUGUAUCUUCGUGGUUUCUAGGGCCCUCUGGCAGGGCUACGUGCAGCAUGGCUGGAGCCCACUGUCACUCAUGACGCAUUUCAGCCUGCUGCUGGGUAUGGCAGAGAUCUGCAGGGGCUUUAGCAUGGGAGCUGCAUUGCUGAUCAUCAUGCAUGGUACAGGUAAGGUUGCAAUCCCCUCAUGUCUUUGGGAAGUCAAACGUGGGUGAGUCUCUCUUGCUCAGACAUCCCACUUUUGCAGCAUGCACAGGGAGACAGACUGAACACAUAUAAAGCUUCCAGUAUUUCUGUUUGAGUUGUCCUUGCUGUGGGCCAGUGAUUGCUUUUGCUUUUUAUGUCAUGUUUUUGUCAAAGGAGAUAUAUGUUUUAAAAAUAUAAACAUUUUUUACAGCUUUACUUUUGCCAAUGUCGUGUUAAUUCACUGCAGACUUCACAGAGGUGACUUUGGGAAGCGUUGGUUCCCGUGUGCAGCAGGGAAGAGGAGAAGAGCAAGGCAGACCUCCAUCCUUUUAUCGUUGCCACAGUGGAUUUGCACAGGCAAAUGCUCAUCCCUGCUGCACAAGAAAACCAAGCAAGUCUGUAGCUGACACUAAGGUCUCCAGCUGACUUGAAAACUGGGAGUAGAUUACCGUGGCUUUCUGUCACUAAUGGAGGGCAGAGACAUUUCUGUAGUGCCCUGUUCCCCUCUCCCUGGAUGCUCCCUUGCCCUUUGCUGGUGGAAAUGUGGCAUAGGAUUGAGGCCCACCAUUUCCCGCCCAUUGCUGUCACAGCGUGCCAGUGACGUGGGAUGCAGAUAAGAGGUUUUCAUCUGGCAUACCCCUGAUAUGGGUCAUACGCCCUGUCUGUGGGUGCUGGAAGGAUUAGGGGUAACCUAAAUGGUGUGUGGUUGAUAGGGACUUGCCAUCUGAGUGAGGUCCUGCAUCUUGGCAGGUUUGCACAGCAUGGCCAGAGGUGAGGAGCUGCAGCUCCCCUUAUGGGCAGUAAGCACCUGAGCCAGGCUACAUUGCUCACAGUAGAAGAUCCACCUCUACCCACUGCAGAUAGCCCGAGGGUAGGAUAAGGAUAAGAGAGUCCCAGAAGAAAAAAUUAGAAAAGGAGAAUGAGGUCACAUUACUAAGGAUGAGAUCAAGGAAUAAAAUAAGCAUGUAGGGCAGAAAGGUUGCUGUGCUAAAUGAAUUACAGCCACUGAGGAUUGUUAGAAAACAAGGAAAAAGGUGCUAUAAAUACAGUAAAGUAAAAGAAAGACAGCAGCAGGCAGAAGCCCAUUACCUAAUGAGUAACAGGAGAGGUACAGAUGACCUAGAGAAGGCCAACUUAUUUAAUGCCUUUUUGCUUCAGUUUUCUCCAACAAAAAACAAACAAACAAAAAAAGGUGCUUCAGUGUGAUAUAAAGUGGCAAGGCACAACAGAAGCGGGAGAUAACAGACGAGGGAGAACACAGUUAAAAUGAACAUAUUCAUCAGAGGUUACAAAGGAAAGAGUCCAGUGAUGAGUGGCAUUCCUCAGGGUCCAUAUUGGGACCAGUGCUGUUUAACAUCUUUGUCAGCAACAUGGACAGUGGGAUUGAGUGCACCCUCAGCAAGCCUGCUGACAACAUCAAGCUGCGUGGUGUGGUCAACAUGCUGGAGGGAAAGAUGCCAUCCAGAGGGACCUUGAUGAGCUUCACAGGUGGACCCAUGCAAACCUCAUGAAGUUCAACAAGGCCAAGUGCAAGGUCCUGCACAUGGGUCGGGGCAAUCCCAAGCACAAGCACAGGCUGGGCAGAGAAGGGAUUGACAAUAGCUCUGUGAAGGACUUGGGGGUGUUCGUGGACGAGGAGCUCAACAUGACCCAGCAACAUGUGUGUGCAGCCCAGAAAGCCAACUGUGUCCUAGGCUGCAUCAGAAGUGUGGCCAGUGGUUGAGGGAGGUGAUUCUCCCCCUCUACUCUCUUCUGGUGAGACCCCACCUGCAGUACUGUGUCCAUCUCUGGGGCCCCCACAUAAGAAGGACAUGGACCUGUUGGAGUGAGUCCAGAGAAGGGCCAUGAAGAUUAUCAGAGGGCUGGAGCACCUCACCUAUGAUGACAGGCUGAGAGAGCUGGAGUUGUUCAGCCUGGAGAAGAGAAGGCUCUGGGGAGACCUUGUAGCAGCCUUCCAGUACCUAAAGGGGCCUACAGGAAAGCUGGAGAGGGGCUUUUUACAAGGGCAUGUAGCGAUAGAAGGGGGAAUGGCUUUAAACAGAAAGAGGAUAGAUUUAGAUUAGGUAAUAGGAAGAAGUUGUUUACUGUGAGGGUGGUGAGACACUGGCCCAGGCUGCCCAGAGCAGCUGUGGGUGCCCCAUCCCUGGCAGUGUUCAGGGCCAGGCUGGAUGGGGCUUGGAGCAACCUGGGCUGGUGGAAGGUGCCCCUGGUCAUGGCAGGGGGGUUGGAGCUAGAUGAUCUUGAAGGGACCUUCCAACCCAAACCCUUCUAGGAUUAUAUAAAACAGGCAGCUUUGGGGUGCAGAUAUAAUCUCAAAGAAGAGAGAUAUGUGGACCUAGGGUUAUAUAAAGGAGUCAGUCCAAACACUUAGCAGGAGAGGCAUUUGAAUAAAAAAUAAACUGUACAUACCUAGAGAUCAGUGUGGUGAUAAGAAACAGCCAGCUGGAUUUGCUGGAGAGCAAAUAUUGUCCAACCGAUCUUGCAUUUGUCUGUAAGAGGGUGGAUGUCUCUAAGAGGCAGGCAAUGCAGCCACACAUCUCAACAUGUGCAGGUCUGGGUGCAGUAUAGCUUUUGGUGCCAUGCCAUCCCUGAGAAAUAUUUGUCUCAAGUAGGUCUGGACAGGAAUCAAGGGCACCCAAGCUUUUCCAGUGGCUUCAUCACAGCUUCUCACAUGGCUUUGGAUAAAUGCAACAACCGUAUUGCUCUCUGUCAGAAAAGUGGAAUAACUAGCAUCCCAUAUUACAUCAGGGAACAAUGAUAUUUUUGUCUGCUUUGACUGUAAGCUGUUUGAGUCUGUUAUGUGCUUGCAAACAAGACCAUCACUGGAAUUUUAGAUGCUCCCAAAUGCAAUUAAUAGGGGCAGGUGUCCCCACGUGCAGGCUGCUGGAUGCAUUCACAUGAAGGACCGCCUUGUGGGGUGCUUCCAGUCUGCUGCUGGAUGUUAUCUGUAGCAGUAUCAGGAGCAGAAAAGGAUGGCUCAAUCAGAUUUAUCUUGCUCUUACACAUGGUAAGUGUUUCAAAACACUGAAAAAGUAAAAGAAGUCUGAAAGUCAUGGAUGAGUUGGUAGUAGGGAUUCUGCUGGUGUGUUUGGUUGAGAAGAAGCAAGGGAGAGGGAGACCUGUCAGGGCCUUUGGAGACAAAGGAAAGGAGGUGGGUUUUAGGAUUCCUGCUUCCUAGUACUUCUUCCAUCUGUACCUACUAAUCCUACCACCAGCCUUCUAUUUGCAGCUUUAAAGAAGUUCAAAACAUUCUCAGAUUUUCAUUCCAAGGGCAGAGUGUUGUUUGGGGAUUAUGGAACAGGAGAUACGCCACAGAAAGACAAGAAUCUACACAUUCAAUCCUGCAUAAGAUUAACAUCAGGAACAGGAGGUGUUUAGCACUGGAUGAGCAUAAGCCUACAUUUUUAAUCCAGGAAUUAUUUGGAGAGAGUUGAAUCUGCCUGAAAGCCAUGAAACAAGGGUGUGAGCAUGAGAACUGACUGUCAUGUGAGAGGUGCAGUGAGAGGCAUCCCAGGGCAGCCUGUGAUCUAAAUCCCCUUUUCCUGAACCCAGACUUAUCCAAAGGAGGCCCUUCCUUCAGCUGACUCCCAGUUCAGCCUGUUAUUUUAGAAAAGGUGGGAUCUUUGGCACCAGUAAGAAGAGGUAAAGGAGAAAUCCCCUCUGUGGCAAAAGACAAGUCACCCAACUUUGCUGCCUGAGCUCGUCCGUUCUGCAAAAUAAGGACAACAGAACCCGGCUGCUUCAACAUGUUGUGAGGAUUAAUGGAUUAAACAGGUCUGAUCGUGCAUGAAUUGAAGGUUGCCAGUUGCCAAGUGUGUUGGACAUGGCAACUCUAUGUGUUGGUAAAUAUCCAGUCAUGAAUUCUUAAUGAAUAUUCUGAAUAGUGAGGUUCUUCUAAGUAUCUCUGAGGAUUCACCCUACAGUCCCUGGGUCUGGGCAUGUAAAAGGAACCAGGACAAACAUAGUCCAUCCUUUCUGCCAUGUCGGCAAUUCAAGCCUUUCAUUGUAUGAAUCAUGUUUGCCACUCUACCCCAGGUGCAAGGCCUCUGGCAAAUGACACUGUUGUGUCCCCUGUUUGGGAACAUCUCCUGGGGAGGCAGCUGGGUCCUUCCAACACAACUGCAAAGUAGUCACCCACCCAGAGCAACCUGCAUGACUCCCAGCAGGAUGCAGACUGGGAGGAAGGGCAGGUGCAUCAGCAAGAGGCAGCAAGAUUGUGGGUCACACA
Falco peregrinus (peregrine falcon) is the source of this 11163-nucleotide long non-coding RNA. RefSeq lists it as uncharacterized. Lineage: Eukaryota; Metazoa; Chordata; Aves; Falconiformes; Falconidae. The record is from RefSeq and is a predicted model, not a curated record. The transcript is spliced from 9 exons.